AUAGUACCUUACUACAUGGAUACCUGUGGUAAUUCUAGAGCUAAUACAUGCUGAAAACCUCGACUUCGGAAGGGGUGUAUUUAUUAGAUAAAAAACCAAUGCCCUUCGGGGCUCCUUGGUGAAUCAUAAUAACUUAACGAAUCGCAUGGCCUUGCGCCGGCGAUGGUUCAUUCAAAUUUCUGCCCUAUCAACUUUCGAUGGUAGGAUAGUGGCCUACCAUGGUGGCAACGGGUAACGGGGAAUUAGGGUUCCAUUCCGGAGAGGGAGCCUGAGAAACGGCUACCACAUCCAAGGAAGGCAGCAGGCGCGCAAAUUACCCAAUCCCGACACGGGGAGGUAGUGACAAUAAAUACUGAUACGGGGCUCUAAUGGGUCUCGUAAUUGGAAUGAGUACAAUCUAAAUCCCUUAACGAGGAACAAUUGGAGGGCAAGUCUGGUGCCAGCAGCCGCGGUAAUUCCAGCUCCAAUAGCGUAUAUUAAAGUUGUUGCAGUUAAAAAGCUCGUAGUUGAACCUUGGGUCUGGCUGGCCGGUCCGCCUCACCGCGAGUACUGGUCCGGCUGGACCUUUCCUUCUGGGGAAUCUCAUGGCCUUCACUGGCUGUGGGGGGAACCAGGACUUUUACUGUGAAAAAAAUUAGAGUGUUCAAAGCAGGCCUUUGCUCGAAUACAUUAGCAUGGAAUAAUAGAAUAGGACGUGCGGUUCUAUAACUGUUGGUUUCUAAGGACCGCCGUAAAUGAUUAAUAGGGAUAGU
RNAcentral lists this ribosomal RNA (752 nucleotides) under Aspergillus niger. RNAcentral's name for it is "SSU rRNA". It matches the Rfam family "Eukaryotic small subunit ribosomal RNA", at positions 124 to 882 of the family's 1831-position model. The record is from RNAcentral. Lineage: Eukaryota; Fungi; Ascomycota; Eurotiomycetes; Eurotiales; Aspergillaceae.